This 774-nucleotide ribosomal RNA is filed under the name uncultured Neocallimastigales. Its description in RNAcentral is "partial large subunit ribosomal RNA". It matches the Rfam family "Eukaryotic large subunit ribosomal RNA", at positions 25 to 616 of the family's 3401-position model. Lineage: Eukaryota; Fungi; Neocallimastigomycota; Neocallimastigomycetes; Neocallimastigales. The record is from RNAcentral.
CCGCAUCUGUGCAUGCAGCAUAUCAAUAAGCGGAGGAAAAGAAACUAACAAGGAUUCCCCUAGUAACGGCGAGUGAAGCGGGAAGAGCUCAAAUUUGAAAUCUUAAAGGGUUUCCCUUUACGAAUUGUAGUUUAAAGAAGUGUUUUCUGUUGAGGUUUUGGUAAAAGUUCUUUGGAGUAGGACAUCAUAGAGGGUGAGAAUCCCGUAUUUGACCUUUACUUUCAACUUUGUGAUACACUUCAAAGAGUCGGAUUGUUUGGGAAUGCAGUCCAAAAUGGGUGGUAAAUUUCAUCUAAAGCUAAAUAUUGGCGAGAGACCGAUAGCGAACAAGUACCGUGAGGGAAAGAUGAAAAGAACUUUGAAAAGAGAGUUAAACAGUACGUGAAAUUGUCAAAAGGGAAGCGUUUGACACCAGUGUUGUUUUUCUGAAAAUCAAUUAAAGAACUGUUUAUGCUAAGUUGUUUAGACUUUAUCAGCUAACUGUUUAGUUUUGAGCUUUUCUUUAAUGCACUUUUCAGUUAACAAGUCAACAUCAAUUUCUUUUGCUGUAAAAAAGCUUGAGGAAGGUGGCUUGAGAUUCGUCUUAAGUGUUUAUAGCCUCUUGCCUAUGCAGUCGGAGAGAUUGAGGUCUGCAGCGUAGAUCCUUCGGGGCUAAAUGCAUUUGUGCUAAGUUAUAGCAUUUUAUAGACAACUUGUUGACUAUGAUUUGUCUUGUAGCUUACUCGCUUAUGUUAUUUUACCUACGCUUAGGAUGUUGAGCGCAUGUCUCUCUCU